This is a long non-coding RNA of Homo sapiens (human), 1172 nucleotides long. The record is from Ensembl. Lineage: Eukaryota; Metazoa; Chordata; Mammalia; Primates; Hominidae.
AUGAGCACCACAAGUUGAUUUGAGCAAAUCCAGGCACCUCUCUCUGCAAGUACAAGACGGGCCUGCGUGUCUGCAUGGAAAAUGAAGUUGUUUCACCUUCCAUGGCAUUGUUCCACUCAAAGAAACAAGCUUUAUUUAUCUCAAAACUUGGCUUCUGUUGACUUGCCAGAUGAAAAAUGAUGUGAAGUUACUGAAAUCAUCUGCUAAGGGAAAUGAAUCCAAGCACGGUGAAAGAUGUUUUGCUGCUUUUUCAAAGCACAUCAGUCAGCUUGUCUUACAAGCACAAUAUAAUUUUCUACCAGCUAAAGUAGCAGUAAACAGAGUGAAUUCAGCUGUGGGAUGAUAGGGGCCUUUCCCCGCAAGUGGACUGAGUCUCAAUUCAUCAUUCACUGCCUGAUGAAGAGGCAGUAUAGCAGACAUGAGAUGCCAACAGUACUCAGCCUAUGCUCAGUCCAGCACCAUCCUUGGUGCACAGUGACCCUUGUGGAAAAUGGGAAAUUAUGAAGUUCUAUGGUAAUUAGUGAAACAAUAACUUAAAGAUAUUUUCAGUUCCACUGCUGAAAUAAAAUAAGGAAAUUCCAAGGAUCUAGAGUAUUUUUAUUCAGCAUCUUCUGAGACCAUUCCUUUGAUUUCACUCAUGUGCGUUUCUGGAACGGGAAGAAGGAAAAGAGAAGGGGAGAGAGUGCAAGAGCCAGGGCUUCCUUAUUCUGGGAAGACUUUGACCAAACUAGGCUAAUACGGCAGAAAGAAACUGACACAGCUGAUGGUCUUUUUGCACGUUUAGCACAUCUGAAGUUUCUGUUUUGAUUAGCGCCUCUCCAUGUUAUCUGAAAAGUCUAUCACUAAGCAAAAACUGACAGUACUUCAAGGAGUAAUUGACAAAUUUGUGAUCAGAGUGGGAGCUUUAACAUGUCUUUCUUAGUAACUGAUAGAUCAAACAGCCAAAAAAUUCAGUAAAGUUAUAAAGAUUUGAACAAGACGAUUAACAAGUUUGAUAUAAAAGACUUAUAUAGAGCACUGCAUUCAACCACUGGGGAAUAUACAUUCUUUUUAAAAUCACAUAUUACCUUUGUAAAAACUAAUUGUGAAUUAGGGCAGAAAGCAAAUAUCAAAUCUCAACAAAUUCAAAGAAUAAGUAUCAAAAGACCACAACACAAUUAAGUUAGAAAAAA